Dermochelys coriacea (leatherback sea turtle) is the source of this 2255-nucleotide long non-coding RNA. RefSeq lists it as uncharacterized. Lineage: Eukaryota; Metazoa; Chordata; Testudines; Dermochelyidae. The record is from RefSeq and is a predicted model, not a curated record. The transcript has 3 exons.
UAGAGGAGGUUUUAAGAGUCUGUCUCAGCAAGACAGGUUAAAGAGGGCCCAUGCUGGCAGAACAGGUAGCCUCAGUGGUAUCUCAGCACAUCAGGUGACUUCCCAAGGGGUCCAACCCCUCACAGUUGGGUCUUUCGUUCUUCACACAACAAAAAUAAUAUGAAGAUACCACAUGGGCACAUUUGGGUCCUAAAUAAUCAUGGUUAAUGUACAAAACCUACAGAAAUAUUAUAAAUAAGGCCUCGUCUAGCUACAUACACACUGCUGAUCUGGCUGUGUUCUGGCGGACUUUACAAUAAUAGAACAGUGAGUCCCACUAGAGGGGUAUUACCCUGUUCUUAUUUGUUUAUAAGGAGAGAGAGAGAGAGAGAGGUGAUGAUUUUCUGCUUUCUUGUUUUUUCUAAAUUCCUGUCCUGAAGUCUUUCCUUUUGUUCAGAGACACAGAAACCCAAAACAUUAUUAGUUUUAUCCAUAUCUCCUUAUUCCCACUGCAGAUUUUCCAUUCCAUUUUUACACUCAAUGCCAUAUAAAGUAAGUGUUAAUGUAUUUAGAUUUUUCUCUACCAUGGAACCCAAUCUGUUAAGGUUGAAGCAAGUGUAUUGCAAAUUCUGCAGGCACAAACCUUUGUAAGCUGACCGUUCUGUUGCAACCACAUGCUAUGUUUGCUGUUAAUAUAAAAAAGACACUGCUUACAGACCCCUCAGAACCCAGUGGAGGGAUGUACUGCUAAUACUACCCAGCUUAGCUUCAGUGCUAAGAAACCUAGGCAUAGGUUACUUAUAUAAACACCGACUCCCUAGAAAAGAAAGUCAAUAAAUAUCUUAAAAUGCUAAACUGUACUAAUGCUGAGGUUGUCCCUUUUCUGAUUAUAGAGUGCUGGAGCUGCAGGAAAAUGGAGCUGGAUGAAGGUCAUUCAUACUCAGGAGAUAUUGGAAGUAAGAAUAUGGCUCUCAGUCGUCAACUUUGGGAUCCAAAAAUAUCAGCUAUGCCAACAUUUGGUAAAGGAGAAGUGGGAAUUGAAUUUAAAAAGAAAGAUGAGACAAAGAAGUGGAUCUACACAAAAGGGAAUUUACUAGUUAAGAGGCUGCUGGUGAAGAUCUAACAAGACAUGGUACUCUGGGAAAACAGUGGCUUUAUCACUGGUAUGUAUUACAGACAGAGGGAAGAUGGAGGGAUUAGCUGGAAGUAACCAUGUCUCAGCAAUACAGAACACUUACUGCAAAACACCCAUAGCAUUUAUCUCGAUUCCAAGGGUUAAAAAGAACAAAAGCUUGUUUGCCUAAGAAGUACUUCUGGCCAAUAAUCUAUUCCACAGUUGGCAGAGUUGUACUAGCUAUGUGAGGCAAGGCAGCCAGGAGGAUAGAGGUCAAGAGGAAAGUUGCCCUUGUACUUACACCUAUAACAAACAUUCUCUUUCAACAUGAUUCAGCUAUCACUUCUGUGAAAUACUCAUAGUUCGAUAGAAGUACAGAAACAGCAGCUAUAAAUUGUGGUAUUACAACGAGCAACUGCUGGAUUCUCUGCAAAGUGUGGAGUACCUCUAGCUGAAUAUGUUAGAAACCCUAUUAUUAAAGAAAACACAUGAGGAUGAGUAAGGAUAUCCAACAGCUUACUUUAGACUGGUGAAGCAACAACAACAACACAAUAAAAAACACCUUGGUCAACCAGUCAUUUAAAUGUCCCUUUGCUCAGGCUUUCUAAUCCAGAUCCACAGGCUCAGGUUCAGAGCCCAGCCUUCAGUUGGUAGUCUCCUUCUGUUCCUGGAACAGCCACUUUCAUGGGUCCCUCUUUGGAAAACUUGUGUACGAUUGAAUUGUUGUUUAAUCUGUCAUUUGUAAGGAACACGGUAAUGCCUUUGGACCCCAUCACAGUGAAAAAGAGUGAAAAAGCAUAUUUAAAAUAGCUAGGUGUCAUUAGAUCUUCAGAAAGACUGUGGACUUCACCUGUCCUAAUAAUGAAGCCAAACAGGUCCUUCUGCUUGUGUGUUGAACUGGUGCAAGCUGAAUGCUGUGAUGGUGGCUGAUGCCUAACCAAAGCAACAAGCGGAUGCUUUUCUGGAGUUCAGGCACACAAUCACAGUGAGCAUUUGUGACUGGGAGUCCCAGGGAGCAGCACUGAGGUUACUCAAUUAUGGUCAACUGCAAAGAAUGGGGCAGACAAUCCCCAAAGCUGGUGGAUAUUCCAAUACUUAGAUUUACCAAGCCAGUAUAAAACAGCUUCUGUAAUACCUUACUGGUUACCCAGAAGCCAACAAC